CCGAAAGGCAGGAGUGCCUGCAAGGGAGCGCGGAGACAGGUGGUGCAUGGCUGUCGUCAGCUCGUGUCGUGAGAUGUUGGGUUAAGUCCCGCAACGAGCGCAACCCUCACCUCUUGUUGCCAUCAGGUCAUGCUGGGCACUCUAGAGGAACUGCCCCGGUCAACGGGGAGGAAGGCGGGGAUGACGUCAAGUCAUCAUGCCCCUUACGUCCUGGGCUACACACGUGCUACAAUGGCCGGUACAAAGGGAUGCCACACCGCGAGGUAGAGCUAAACCCAAAAAGCCGGUCUAAGUUCAGAUUGGAGUCUGCAACUCGACUCCAUGAAGGAGGAAUCGCUAGUAAUCGCGUAUCAGCACGACGCGGUGAAUACGUUCCCGGGCCUUGUACACACCGCCCGUCACACCACGAAAGCCAG
Molecule: ribosomal RNA, 416 nt
Filed under: uncultured bacterium
Lineage: Bacteria
Description: bacterial SSU rRNA
Rfam family: Bacterial small subunit ribosomal RNA
Source: RNAcentral